AUUGAACGCUGGCGGCAGGCCUAACACAUGCAAGUCGAGCGGAUGAAUGGAGCUUGCUCCUGGAUUCAGCGGCGGACGGGUGAGUAAUGCCUAGGAAUCUGCCUGGUAGUGGGGGAUAACGUCCGGAAACGGGCGCUAAUACCGCAUACGUCCUGAGGGAGAAAGUGGGGGAUCUUCGGACCUCACGCUAUCAGAUGAGCCUAGGUCGGAUUAGCUAGUUGGUGGGGUAAAGGCCUACCAAGGCGACGAUCCGUAACUGGUCUGAGAGGAUGAUCAGUCACCCUGGAACUGAGACACGGCCGAGACUCCUACGGGAGGAAGCAGUGGGGAAUAUUGGACAAUGGGCGAAAGCCUGAUCCAGCCAUGCCGCGUGUGUGAAGAAGGUCUUCGGAUUGUAAAGCACUGUAAGUUGGGAGGAAGGGCAGUAAGUUAAUACCUGGCUGUUUUGACGUUACCAACAGAAUAAGCACCGGCUAACUUCGUG
This 484-nucleotide ribosomal RNA is filed under the name uncultured bacterium. RNAcentral's name for it is "partial 16S ribosomal RNA". It matches the Rfam family "Bacterial small subunit ribosomal RNA", at positions 30 to 507 of the family's 1533-position model. The record is from RNAcentral.